AUGGUGGCUCAUAGGAGGGAGAGACAGAAUUGCUUAAUUGGAUCCUUCACAAAAACUGAUAUUCAUCAUGAUUCAACUUCCACUGUAUGCCAGGAUUACAGCCUCUUGGAAUAUGUAGAGGACUUCCAAGGUAGUCAGAGACGUUUGUACUGCGUGGCUCCGGGAAAAGCGUAAUGAGUGAGCCAAGGUCAAAAGUCACCAUCCCACUUCAAAGAAGCUGACAGCUGUGGGGGAUUCACAGAGGCAGUUUACAGGAAGUUUGAUAUUCCAGUUCUUUCAGCCAAUGCAAG
Long non-coding RNA from Pan paniscus (pygmy chimpanzee), 290 nucleotides. The record is from Ensembl. Lineage: Eukaryota; Metazoa; Chordata; Mammalia; Primates; Hominidae.